RNAcentral lists this transfer RNA (71 nucleotides) under Dipodomys ordii (Ord's kangaroo rat). It matches the Rfam family "tRNA". From Rfam's summary of the family: Transfer RNA (tRNA) molecules are approximately 80 nucleotides in length. Their secondary structure includes four short double-helical elements and three loops (D, anti-codon, and T loops). Further hydrogen bonds mediate the characteristic L-shaped molecular structure. tRNAs have two regions of fundamental functional importance: the anti-codon, which is responsible for specific mRNA codon recognition, and the 3' end, to which the tRNAs corresponding amino acid is attached (by aminoacyl-tRNA synthetases). tRNAs cope with the degeneracy of the genetic code in two manners: having more than one tRNA (with a specific anti-codon) for a particular amino acid; and 'wobble' base-pairing, i.e. permitting non-standard base-pairing at the 3rd anti-codon position. Lineage: Eukaryota; Metazoa; Chordata; Mammalia; Rodentia; Heteromyidae. The record is from Rfam by way of RNAcentral.
GGGAAGGUGGCUCAGUGGUAGAGUGCUUGCCUUCAUGCAUGAGGCCCUAGGUUUGAUUCCUCAUCAUCACA